GAGAGUGAAGCUGAAGCGGUUCGGCACUGGUCUUGAAAACCAGCGGGUGUAACAGCCAGGGGUUCGACUCCUCCUCUCUCC
This 81-nucleotide transfer RNA is filed under the name Leucobacter luti. It matches the Rfam family "tRNA". From Rfam's summary of the family: Transfer RNA (tRNA) molecules are approximately 80 nucleotides in length. Lineage: Bacteria; Bacillati; Actinomycetota; Actinomycetes; Micrococcales; Microbacteriaceae. The record is from Rfam by way of RNAcentral.